GAUGAACGCUGGCGGCGUGCCUAAUACAUGCAAGUCGAGCGAACAGAUGAGGAGCUUGCUCCUCUGACGUUAGCGGCGGACGGGUGAGUAACACGUGGAUAACCUACCUAUAAGACUGGGAUAACUUCGGGAAACCGGAGCUAAUACCGGAUAAUAUAUUGAACCGCAUGGUUCAAUAGUGAAAGGCGGUUUUGCUGUCACUUAUAGAUGGAUCCGCGCCGCAUUAGCUAGUUGGUAAGGUAACGGCUUACCAAGGCGACGAUGCGUAGCCGACCUGAGGGGAUGAUCGGACCAACUAGAACUUAGCCACGGUCCAGACUCCUACGGGAGGCAGCAGUAGGGAAUCUUCCGCAAUGGGCGAAAGCCUGACGGAGCAACGCCGCGUGAGUGAUGAAGGUCUUCGGAUCGUAAAACUCUGUUAUUAGGGAAGAACAAAUGUGUAAGUAACUAUGCACGUCUUGACGGUACCUAAUCAGAAAGCCACGGCUAACUACGUG
This 497-nucleotide ribosomal RNA is filed under the name uncultured bacterium. RNAcentral describes it as "partial 16S ribosomal RNA". It matches the Rfam family "Bacterial small subunit ribosomal RNA", at positions 28 to 507 of the family's 1533-position model. The record is from RNAcentral.